ACACGCUUUAAGUGUUUCUCUCUGCCACCACCGUCUUCAUCAUCAUUUUCACCUCUUUCUUCUUUUUUUUUUUAAUUUCAACACCUAACAUACAUGUUUCAUUACGCAAAAGCCAUCUUUAUCUGUUUCUCAUGUGACUCUGAAGCCUCCUUCUUUCCUUCAACAUACCCAAGGUUUGGACGUUGGUGCUAGGGAGAAGCAAGGAAAUCCUAAAGCAUGUCUUCACUUAAAGUUUCCGCUCAAAUGGAUUAUGAUUUGCAGUAUGGCCACCUAACAGCUUUGGUUUAUUGGGUUAAUGAGAGAAUACAUUCAAGGUAUAUAGUUCGCUGUUAGUGCUUUUAAGACUUGUGAUAAUGUUCGAGAAUGGUCUUUUCUGGUGCUAGUUUUAAUUGAUGUACAAUUUUUUUUGUUUUUUUUAAUUCUUAACCCUUCCCCGAUUCCCAACUGUAGUUUGUUUUGUACCAAAGAAUGAAUAUCGAACUGUGGUUUUCUUCCUUAGCUAAGGGAACUGCAUAGUAUUGAUGCAAAGUUUUUCCCCAUUUUCAGUAGAAUUGUUGAAAGCCAGUCCACUUAUGUUUUCAGAAACUCAAGAAAAAAUAUAUCUUCUGCCUCUCUCUAAAACUCAAGAAAACCCUAGAUUGUUGGGAAUUUUGAUUUAUUUAUGUAGAAAUUUUGUGCAAAUGCCAUCAAUUGACUAGCGAGAGGUUGCUCAUAAUUGGUUUGGAGGUUGUUGUUGUUCAUUCGGGGGUAUAAGUGAGAAGCUGGUGACUAGAUUUGCAAAUUCCUAUAGAUGUGCUAAGGGUGUGUGUCUUUUAAACUUUACGACCAUUCUUCUUUUAAUUUUCAAAUUAUUUGAAUUUUUUUAAUCAAACACAAUUCUUUAAUGUUUCCGUUUCACAAAAAUGAGAAUGACUUCUAUUUCUUGAAAUCAAAUGAAGCCUUGAGAUAUUUUACGCAUUAUUUAAGGUUUAAUUUUUUUUUCUUGAGUGACAAUGUGGAUGUCAUAUAGUCUAAUUUU
Long non-coding RNA from Gossypium raimondii (Peruvian cotton), 1018 nucleotides. RefSeq lists it as uncharacterized. The transcript has 3 exons. Lineage: Eukaryota; Viridiplantae; Streptophyta; Magnoliopsida; Malvales; Malvaceae. The record is from RefSeq and is a predicted model, not a curated record.